GGGAAACUGCCUGAUGGAGGGGGAUAACUACUGGAAACGGUAGCUAAUACCGCAUAACGUCGCAAGACCAAAGAGGGGGACCUUCGGGCCUCUUGCCAUCAGAUGUGCCCAGAUGGGAUUAGCUAGUAGGUGGGGUAACGGCUCACCUAGGCGACGAUCCCUAGCUGGUCUGAGAGGAUGACCAGCCACACUGGAACUGAGACACGGUCCAGACUCCUACGGGAGGCAGCAGUGGGGAAUAUUGCACAAUGGGCGCAAGCCUGAUCCAGCCAUACCGCGUGGGUGAAGAAGGCCUUCGGGUUGUAAAGCCCUUUUGUUGGGAAAGAAAUCCAGCUGGUUAAUACCCGGUUGGGAUGACGGUACCCAAAGAAUAAGCACCGGCUAACUUCGUGCCAGCAGCCGCGGUAAUACGAAGGGUGCAAGCGUUACUCGGAAUUACUGGGCGUAAAGCGUGCGUAGGUGGUCGUUUAAGUCCGUUGUGAAAGCCCUGGGCUCAACCUGGGAACUGCAGUGGAUACUGGGCGACUAGAAUGUGGUAGAGGGUAGCGGAAUUCCUGGUGUAGCAGUGAAAUGCGUAGAGAUCAGGAGGAACAUCCAUGGCGAAGGCAGCUACCUGGACCAACAUUGACACUGAGGCACGAAAGCGUGGGGAGCAAACAGGAUUAG
This 666-nucleotide ribosomal RNA is filed under the name Stenotrophomonas sp. JA62. RNAcentral describes it as "bacterial SSU rRNA". It matches the Rfam family "Bacterial small subunit ribosomal RNA", at positions 120 to 781 of the family's 1533-position model. The record is from RNAcentral. Lineage: Bacteria; Pseudomonadati; Pseudomonadota; Gammaproteobacteria; Lysobacterales; Lysobacteraceae.